UGGGGAAUUUUCCGCAAUGGGCGAAAGCCUGACGGAGCAAGACCGCGUGAGGGAGGAAGGCCCUUGGGUUGUAAACCUCUUUUCUCAGGGAAGAAGAAAGUGACGGUACCUGAGGAAUCAGCCUCGGCUAACUCCGUGCCAGCAGCCGCGGUAAUACGGAGGAGGCAAGCGUUAUCCGGAAUUAUUGGGCGUAAAGCGUCCGCAGGUGGUGGUGCCAGUCUGCGGUUAAAGACCGGAGCUUAACUCCGGAGUUGCCGUGGAAACUGCGCUACUAGAGGCCGGUAGGGGUAGAGGGAAUUCCCAGUGUAGCGGUGAAAUGCGUAGAGAUUGGGAAGAACACCAGUGGCGAAAGCGCUCUACUGGGCCGGUACUGACACUCACAGGACGAAAGCUAGGGGAGCGAAAGGGAUUAGAUACCCCCGUAGUCC
RNAcentral lists this ribosomal RNA (428 nucleotides) under uncultured prokaryote. Its description in RNAcentral is "bacterial SSU rRNA". It matches the Rfam family "Bacterial small subunit ribosomal RNA", at positions 355 to 796 of the family's 1533-position model. The record is from RNAcentral.